UGGGGAAUUUUGGACAAUGGGGGAAACCCUGAUCCAGCCAUCCCGCGUGUGCGAUGAAGGCCUUCGGGUUGUAAAGCACUUUUGGCAGGAAAGAAACGUCGCGGGUUAAUACCCCGCGAAACUGACGGUACCUGCAGAAUAAGCACCGGCUAACUACGUGCCAGCAGCCGCGGUAAUACGUAGGGUGCAAGCGUUAAUCGGAAUUACUGGGCGUAAAGCGUGCGCAGGCGGUUCGGAAAGAAAGAUGUGAAAUCCCAGAGCUUAACUUUGGAACUGUAUUUUUAACUACCGGGCUAGAGUGUGUCAGAGGGAGGUGGAAUUCCGCGUGUAGCAGUGAAAUGCGUAGAUAUGCGGACGAACACCGAUGGCGAAGGCAGCCUCCUGGGAUAACACUGACGCUCAUGCACGAAAGCGUGGGGAGCAAACAGGAUUAGAUACCCUGGUAGUCCACGCCCUAAACGAUGUCAACUAGCUGUUGGGGGCCUUCGGGCCUUGGUAGCGCAGCUAACGCGUGAAGUUGACCGCCUGGGGAGUACGGUCGCAAGACUAAAAACUUAAAUGAAUUGAAC
Molecule: ribosomal RNA, 569 nt
Filed under: uncultured bacterium
Lineage: Bacteria
Description: partial 16S ribosomal RNA
Rfam family: Bacterial small subunit ribosomal RNA
Source: RNAcentral